AAUAGAUACCCCGGUAGUCCACGCCCUAAACGAUGUCAACUGGUUGUCAGGGAAGCAAUUCCUUGGUAACGAAGCUAACGCGUGAAGUUGACCGCCUGGGGAGUACGGCCGCAAGGUUAAAACUCAAAGGAAUUGACGGGGACCCGCACAAGCGGUGGAUUAUGUGGAUUAAUUCGAUGCAACGCGAAAACCUUACCUACCCUUGACAUGUACGGAACUUGGCAGAGAUGCCUUGGUGCCCGAAAGGGAGCCGUAACACAGGUGCUGCAUGGCUGUCGUCAGCUCGUGUCGUGAGAUGUUGGGUUAAGUCCCGCAACGAGCGCAACCCUUGUCAUUAGUUGCUACAUUCAGUUGGGCACUCUAAUGAGACUGCCGGUGACAAACCGGAGGAAGGUGGGGAUGACGUCAAGUCCUCAUGGCCCUUAUGGGUAGGGCUUCACACGUAAUACAAUGGCCGGUACAGAGGGCUGCCAACCCGGCGAGGGGGAGCUAAUCCCAGAAAGCCGGUCGUAGUCCGGAUUGUUCUCUGCAACUCGAGAGCAUG
This 544-nucleotide ribosomal RNA is filed under the name uncultured bacterium. RNAcentral describes it as "bacterial SSU rRNA". It matches the Rfam family "Bacterial small subunit ribosomal RNA", at positions 777 to 1322 of the family's 1533-position model. The record is from RNAcentral.